AUACGGAGGGUGCAAGCGUUAUUCGGAAUCACUGGGCGUAAAGGACGCGUAGGCGGGUUUGUAAGUCAGGUGUGAAAUCCUACAGCUUAACUGUAGAACUGCACUUGAAACUACAGACCUAGAGUAUGGGAGGGGCAGAUGGAAUUAGUGGUGUAGGGGUAAAAUCCGUAGAUAUCACUAGGAAUACCGAAAGCGAAGGCGAUCUGCUGGAACAUAACUGACGCUAAGGCGUGAAAGCGUGGGGAGCAAACAGAAUUAGAUACCCGAGUAGUCC
This 274-nucleotide ribosomal RNA is filed under the name uncultured bacterium. RNAcentral describes it as "partial 16S ribosomal RNA". It matches the Rfam family "Bacterial small subunit ribosomal RNA", at positions 523 to 796 of the family's 1533-position model. The record is from RNAcentral.